CUGUGUGCCCCACUGUGCAGGAUCUGAGCAAGGAUUUGAGAGCUCAGGUUUGCAUCCUGGAUGGGAAACAGCCAGACUCAAAUUGUCUGCCUUCUGAGUGAUGUACCCUGCCUGGAAGAGAAGACAGCUGGAGAUGAAAGUCACUUAGCUUUUCAAUAAUUUAUGGGACAGACCAAUAUCAAGGAUGACUGGGUGGUAAGACAGAAGGUUCCUGGGCCUCUGAGGAUAGCUGGAAGCUGACCUGUAUCCACCUGGACUUGCUUACUGUUGAAGCCAAAGCUCUUCCGUGGACACAUCCAGAAGGAACCACACCUAGGUUUGGGUCCGUAUUUUAAAGGGAACCAGAAUACUUGGGUGAAGCAAGACAGAGAGAGCAAGUCCAGAGACACCAUCUUCUGAUGUGCAGCUGCUCACGGCUGCCGAGAGCUUUGAGGCUACCGUCCAGCUGGAACCUCAGUUACCCUUAUACACAUUUUACAGCCGGGCCUCGGGCCCCCUUAGGGGUCUGCCAAGUCCAGGAUCCCUGAUUGCAGGCAGGGGGAGUGGGCUUAAGCUGUAGCAGGAGGGAGUCAGUGCAGUAAACAGUGGCAGAAACACAGGCCCCACACCCCAGGUGAAAGAGGCUAAAGACCUUGGCCCAGACAGAGUGGCGGAAGGGUGAGAGGUGAGUGACUGGGGAAGCCCGGGCUCCAGGGCAGUCUUCCAGAAGCAGGAUCUUGACAGGGCUGUUGAAGGUUUCCCAGCUGAGACUUCACCCAUUAAGGUCCAUGUCAGGAACCUCACUCUUCAGCUAGAGGAGCUUUCUGAGUGGGAGGUUUCUCCAGUGGAACCCACCAAACUCAGAGCCCCGGCCUUGGGGCCACCUUAUUUACAGUCGCUAAUGUUCACCUGCCCUGUGACAUCCUGCCCCGGGUGGUGGCCUUUCUCAGAUGCCAAACAGUGACUUAAUGGUUACCCCAAGACUUGCCCGCUUCUCAAUGAAGAAAUGUUGGGAGAAUUCAAGGAUAAGACAUGUAGGCAUUUGGGAUGAGAGAAAGCAUUCAGGAAUUUUGGGAGUAAGUUCUUCGAUCCAUCAUCCUGGGAAGGACGUGUGAGCUGUUAUCUUGGGGACCCAGCGAUGUGUCUUUAAGGACAGCCAGAUUACCAUAUCUCUAGCUUUCUGGACCACCUUGUAAACUUGACCUUCGGCAAUCUUUGCACCACUGCUCCUGGAAAUUGGAGGAAGAGGGGUUUACUGCUUUCCAGGCAGGGUCUGUGUUGGGGAGAAGAGCUGGUCAGCUCUGCAGUUCUGGGUUUGAAAAGACACGAGUCACAAUGGAAGUCCUAGUGAGCACUGUCCUGUUGGAGCAAUAAGUAUGUGCUGCUUCUUCCAAGCUCCCCUAGUUACCAGAAGUGCGCUCUCAGGCCCUAAUGAGAACCCCCAAGGAUUUAUAAAUUUUCCCUGGCCUAGUUGGAACUGACUCUCUGAAGGCAGAAGAGGUUAAAAAUGUGUUUUAAGCUUCAAGCAAUUAGAGCAACCUUGCAGAACCCCUGGCACCAAGAGGAUUUACAUUGCAUGUUAUCUAAUAGCCACAUGAUCAAGUUCAGUUGAGAAUCCCAGCUCUCAGGGACAUCUGGUUCUCCAGAAGAGCAUCUUCGGGUUUGGGACUCAGAGAAGAGCGUGUGAUGCUUGGGACCCAGACCUGGCCGGAAAAAAUAUAAUCAGGACAUGAAAGCGUUUCAGAACGAGAGGCUGGUGCUCCUACUUUAAAAACAUUCCCUGAAGGCAGGCUUUGGAUAGAGAGAGGUCACACACACAACGUCAGUCACAGGAGGCCCUGGAGGAGACAGCAGGCCCCUUCUACUCCAGCUAGCAGUGCAUCAUGGGAGUAGGAAGGCUGGAGAACCUGGUGGUCAACAAGGGCAGAGAGUCUCAGGACGAGCUGCAUCACCUCUUCUGGAAACUUGUUAGAAGUGAACCCUCCGGCCUCCACCCCGGGCCUGCUGACUCAGAGGUGCUGGGGGUGGGGCCCAGCAACCUGUGUUUCACUGUUUCUGUGGGAGACUGUGAUACCCACUCGUGUCUGGGAACCACUCUUCUACCUCAAACAAAAGAACUGGAUCCGGCCUGCAGAUGCAUUUUUAUUGACUGGGAUAGUGUUUAACAUUUUUUGAACUGAUUUCCAAUGUUUCAAAAUGGGUAUUUUUAUAUGAAAAUCCACAUUUCUGGCUUUUCUUGGGGAAAAAAAUAGGAAGACCUAGCCCCAGGGGACUCACAUACCUGCUUGGCAAUAAUUGUCUGGAGCUGAGGAGAGGCUAAAGGUCUUAGAAAGGGCAUGCGCCCUCCUGGGGGAAGGGGUCCCUCAUCAGCUAUCUCGCUCGCGGAUUCACUCUUUCCCAUCUGGAGACCUUUGAGCCAUUGGCCCGUGACCUAGAUAAUGUCUAGUGUCACCUCAAGCUGAAUUUCAGUCAUCACGCAUUUGCUGACCACGUACAUGAUAGGAUGGGCUUUCUGCCACCCUCAUAAUCCUCUUCCUCACUGACUCUUAUUCUCCCCCGUCCACCCUCAACUCCCUCCACUGUUUGCUAAGAUGGGGAAAAAAGAAGACGUGCAAUGAGGGCAAUACCUAGAGUAGAGCCAUGGGAGUCAGUUAAUGCCAGGCAGAAAGAGGUUUAUUUGUUUCGCGUGCACUAUCCUCUGAUCUCACCCUUGAGAAAGUGAACUCACUGUCACGGUCAGAAAAGAAGGGACAGUGGCCUUCUGUUAGGUGUGGACAGGCUUUCAUCGAUGGCUUGGGGGUCAUCAGGGGUGGGCAGGUUCAUUUGCCAGCUGGGAUGACCUAAGACAGUUGACACUCAUUGACUGCCUCCUCUGCGUCAGACACUGAGCUGGGCUCGGAGGCCAUACAAGGUGGCAGUCACCCUCUGUUUCUUUCUUUUGGAGAGGGCUGGCAGGGUCAACAGGUAAGGGUCAGUCCAUAGUGUCAACCCCAAACACAGAGUCCUAACCGCCCCCUUGCUGGUGGCAGAUCCUUGACCCUUUAUGUCAUUUCUGCAGCCGUUUGCCGUGUCCCCUUUUACAAAACGUAAAUGUCUCUCCAUGGGUUCUGACCCCAUGUAACUCUUAACUCUGUAGAGGGAAGGACUAGCUUGGUGUUUCUUCCAUUCUGUCAACCGGUUAUCAAGCAAGGGGCACGUUUGGGGGAAGAAAUAAGAAUAAAAAAAUUGGGAGUAAGGGGGGGUCAGUAGAGCAGAUGUGUGUGGGAAGGGAGGAGAUGCUGGUAAAAUGUGCUUGGCGUUUCUAGACCAGCUCUGACUUGAGAGCCCAGGGCAUUCUCAACUGAAGAGAAACCUCAUUUCUGAACACGCAUUUUCUGAAGGCAGCUGGUGAGCCGUGCGCUCACUGGGCCUCCCUCUCCAUGGGGACCCAAUGACACUGGAGGGGAAUUGGGCAGAGUAGUAGCAAUGCAGGAUUUUUCUGACAGGUGUAUGUUGCCGCUGACUACUUUCUGGGGCCUGCUCAUUUGAGGAUGCAGGGGUGAAAGACGGAGGUCCUGGGGGGCCAAGUUGAGCUAUAGGAGAUGGGGGUGUUACCAAGAGGCUGCGUGAGGAUUUUGGGGGGAAGCUGAAGGCAGGCCUGAGGUGAGGGGAGGGGAAAGAGAAGUGAGGAGUGAAGAAGAAGGCAGGACGACCGAAGACUUGGGGCAUCCAUUAUGGUGUUCCUUUGAGCGGGACUUGAUUCUCAGUUUUAGCAGCUCUUGAAUGAAGCCUGCCUUCCAAUAGGACACACUCUUCCGAAGGGAUGGGAGGUGGGAGAGCGGCGAGAGGGAGUAAGAAUCAGGAAAUUUAGUCGUUCAGUGUAAGCCUCACCUCACCCUUGCAAAGUUGUGAUUAUAGUUCCAUGUGGCCUAGAUAUCUGCUGACCUCACUUUAUACUUUGACAUCUAAACAGAGAUGGCUUUGCCCCCAAUCCCCACCCAGUCCACUCAGCAAGCUGUCUGGGAUGUCCUGGGCUGGGGUGCUUAUGGUCACUUCUGAACUCCCAUUUUCACCCCCACUUGCCUUCUAGGGUCACUUUUCCCUUUGCUCUGCGCUGACCUCACUCCUUGUCCCCACGCCUGGCCUCCUUCCUGCUCUACCUGAACCACUUUUUGUGUGAAUGACAGGUUUUAUCAAAAGUUUGGGAGCAGCAGAUGGUUUUUCAUCACAAAACAGCAUGGCAUGAUACUAGAUAUUCCUGGCCUUAAAAAUCCUGUCGUCACCAGACCAGCUCCCACUCUCUCUCUUUCCAUCUCCUUCUCUCACCUCUGUCUGCACACCUGGUUCUCUCCCAUCUCCAUAUAUUUCUGUUACCUUUGUAGUGCAGAGCAUAUUCGCUGUCACCUUGUUUCACUAUUUCCUUGCAGACCAUUUUCUGGGGGCCUCUCCCUCUUUACCUCAAGCGACCCAUCGCAGUAAUUUCCUGGACAAAUAUGUAAAAGGGAUGCUCGCACCAGCCAAAAGAACUUCUUUCCCUCUGCUACAAACAUUUUACAGUGGAAGACUCUGAGGCUCCAAGAAGUUAAGCAACCUGGGCAGGACCACAGCUUCUGGGGAGACUCCUGAAGGGAGUUCCUGCCCCCCAGGAAGCUGGAGCUUCAGAGGGCCUGGCCUUAGCUGGUGGGGUUCUCGUCCUGCGAUUCCCUCUUCAGAACAUGAGGCUCCUCUCUUCCCAGGGCUCCCCCUUUUAAAGCAGGGUCGUGGAGGGAAGGCUCUGAUGGGGCCAGCAAUCCAUUACUUGGCUCUUUCGGGGGAACGCCCAUGGAUAUUAGGUAGAACCUAAGUGCUGCACUGUCAGCAAGUUCAGCGGUAGCCAGUCCAGCACACAUUGUCAGCUUAACACACCACCGGGUACAUUGUACCUCAUAGCUCAGAAUCAAUCAAGUCAAGGCAAUUUCCUUAACAUGCCAUCAAUAAAAGAUUAUGGACGGGGGGGAGGGCUUCCCUAAGAAGCUAAUGCCUUACUAAAGUUCAAAUGAGGCACUAUAUAGUAAAAUAAAUUCAAUCUCUAUUUUCACUCCUUGCAAUUUUAGUGGAGGCUAAAUGAAAUGGAACCGUGUUGAUCCUAACCCGUUCAAUAUAUCUUCACUUCCUAAGAACCAAGGUCAUUUUUACCUUCAUGGGAAGGGAGGCCAAAAUAUAAAAAUACUCACCCAUACCUAAUAGAAAGGCAUUUGCAGGGCUUUGAAAGCCAGGUAGAUGACUGAUAUAUUAUGUAAUUCGUUUCAUGGCAUAGCUGACUGUGUCUUAUAGAUAGUGUUUAACCUUGCCAAUUCUGCUCUGAGAUAACCCUCCUCUGAGGAUAAAAAUCAUAUAUUUAACAUAAAAGGAAAAGUUGGGAGAGAAAAAGCUGCAUAAUGUGUUCCGUACAACAGAACCAGAAGUUGCUUAUGCAGAAAGAUGAUCUGAACAAGUAUUUUGUGCUUUGCCUUAUUACCAUGUUACCAUUAUACUAAUCAGAAGUGAGGUGAAAACCACUUAAGGGGGACUAUGUUCCUGAAUGGCAAAAUAUAUCCACUGCUGAAUGCAAGGUAGUGUGUGGGCAACAGCAUAGACCCUAGAUUGAUCCUGUGCGCUACUGCAUACAUGGUCUGUGACCUUGGGUAUUUACUUAACCUCUUUAAGCCUCAGUUUCCUUGUCUGUGAAAUGGGCAUAACAACAAUCACUAUAGCAGAUAAUGCUGGUUAUUUAUUCAUCACCCAUUUUCCUUCUUCCUCCUUUCCAACAGAGCCCCAUUUUAUUCACACUUUCUCAACCUCUAAUUCUAUAGAGGACUCUUAAGUCACCCUAAGUGGUACAUAUCAGUCCCUGGCAUCUGUUAUUGGUCCAGGGAAGGGCACAUGAUGCCAAGUGGUCCAAUUGGAUGGAAGGGAAGACACUAACUCUCUUUUGUGGGUAUGAACAAGGAAGCACAUUGUCCUAAGACCACUGGUUGCCAUCUUUUAAUGUCAUUUUGACCUGAGAUUUCCUGUUACAGGCAUUCCAAAGCAUUCUAACUGAUAAACUAUCUUAGAGGAAGAGUGUUUCCAGGAUCAAGGGGAAGAUUCCAGGAUACAGGGCUAACCAAUGGAGAUUUCUGUGAUGAUGGAAACAGUUGACAUCUGCACUGUCCAAUA
This is a long non-coding RNA of Hipposideros armiger (great roundleaf bat), 6135 nucleotides long. RefSeq lists it as uncharacterized. NCBI's taxonomy places the organism in Eukaryota, Metazoa, Chordata, Mammalia, Chiroptera, Hipposideridae. The record is from RefSeq and is a predicted model, not a curated record. The transcript is spliced from 3 exons.